ACAAGGAGGGAGGAGGCGGCAGUGAGCGGGAGCGGGUGAGUCAGCAGCAGCUGGAGAAGUAAAGAGGCACAAUGAAGCGCUUACAGCUUAGCAGUCCCUGGACCAGAUUCUCCCUCUCUCUAAUCUUGGGAUUAUAAAGAAUGUAACCCAUAAAUUAUUGACCUCCAUGCUAUAUAAAGACACUUCUGAGCAUGACUUCAAUACACAUUGCCUAGACGAAGAGCAAGUGGCUCGAAACGCGUUGACUGUGGGGCGGAGUCACCCCUGGUAGAAAGAAGCCUGAUCCAGAAGUCUGCUACUGCUGAUGCCGGGUCUGUUGCGUUCCAGAAGCCCUGAUCCACUUUACAGCUGUACAUACUGAUUUCUGCUAAAUCUCCAAUCUACACUAUCUGAGUGUUUCUUAUGAAAUCGUGCGUCUC
Long non-coding RNA from Pseudophryne corroboree (corroboree frog), 419 nucleotides. RefSeq lists it as uncharacterized. The record is from RefSeq and is a predicted model, not a curated record. Lineage: Eukaryota; Metazoa; Chordata; Amphibia; Anura; Myobatrachidae. The transcript has 3 exons.